CCCGUGUUCACCUUGCCCAGUUGCACCCAGGGGAAUUGUUAGCGACUACUGAUGCGGCUAUAGGAGCUUUCAGGAAUUUUGCCCGUAGCACAGAGCCUUCCACUCAUUGGUUGGGAAUAGCCCAAGGUCCAAUUGAAUCUUUUCAAGAGUUUGCCGAUAGGCUAAUUAAGGCGGUUGAGGGGUCAGACUUACCCAGAGCUGUCCAUGGCCCUGUAAUCGUGGACUGCCUUAAACAAAGGUCCCUUGAGGAUAUCAAAACUCUGCUUCGCGCGGCUCCUGGGAAAAUCUCUACACCAGGGGAGGUUAUUAGAAGCUGCUGGUGGGAAAACCGAAGCCAACUCCAGAGCAACCGAGGGACAGACGAGGGGACCGAGAACCACUCAUCAAGAGGAGCACCACACCUGCAAUGCCGAUACUUCUGAUACUGCUGAUGUUUAUGGUGUCACCGCGAUGUGAGUCCGGGACCUGAGUGUAACGAUGAUGUUAAGUUGUGGAGUGUCACAGCACAUAUCUUCGCGUCGAUUUUUGCGCCAGGAGUCUCAGCAGCGGCGGCUUUGACCCAAAUAGAAAGAUUGGCAUGUUGGUCUGCAAAACAGGCCAAUACAACCACGCUUGUGUUAAAUGCUAUGCUUGAAGAUCUUAAUAGUGUCCGCCAUGCACUGCUACAGAAUAGAGCAGCUAUUGACUUCUUGCUGUUGGCUCAAGGACAUGGGUGUGAGGAUGUCGAAGGAAUGUGCUGCUUUAACCUCAGUGGUCACAGGAUGUCGAUUCAUAAACAACUACGAUGGAUGCAAGAACAUACACAGAAGAUUAAAGAAGAGAGUGAUCCCUUUGGGAAUUGGCUGAACAGACUGUUUAGGGGAGUGGGUUCAUGGUUAAAGCAAUUGCUUAAGGUUUUUGUGAUAGGGCUUGCAAUCUUUGUAUGUAUUCUGAUCUGUCUUCCAUGCUUUGUAGGAUGCUUGCAGAACUCCUUGCAAUGAAUGAUGGAAAAGACUUUUGACCAUCGGAUUGAGUAUCACAGACUGUGUGAAAGGUUGUAGAAGGGUGUAGGUUGUUGCGUUCGUGCUGCAACGGGGCAAGGCUUGGCCGAGCGCGGGGAGUCAGGUUAUGAGGGCAAAGGACUCCCUGUUGCUCUGAUGUUUUCUUAAAGGAUUGCAGUAAAAGAGUAGUAGAAAUAGUUUGCUGAAAUGUAUUUAGGAUUAGAUGCUUUGCAUUGCUUCGCGAUGUACGGGUUAGACGUAUGUAAGUAGUAUUUAGCUUAGGGAGGGGGAGAUGUUGUAGUAGGCGUUUUGCGGGGUUACGGGAUGUACAGGACAGGCUUCUCCCUAAGCAUAGUGAGACGGUGCUAUUGUGCUCUAACAGACUGACCUUGCUGCCGAGAAAACAAGAAAGAGGAAGGAUGUGAAGGAAUGAGGAAGCAACUAAAUAAGGCACGAUGUUAUCCAGUGCGAACCAAUCAGGGCAGAACAUGACGGCACAGUUGCUUAAGUUAAAAUAUAUAAGCUGUGCAUAGUAGUGAAUAAAUACCAUUUUACUGCUCAUCAUAUUGGUGUACGUUUGCAGUCAUUUGGCCCUGACCAGGUAGUUGGCCAGUACGUGCUAGGGCUAACACAGGAUGCUAACAUCACAGUUGCUGAAGGCAACACCUGUGUACCUCAGGCAUUAAUGUAGGUUGCACUUUGAGGCCAGACCUUAAGAAAUAAUAUUUUGCAACAUCUAGAGGUGCGGUGCUCCCAGUCCCUCAUCCAGAAAGCAAAAGUGGUUAAUAUCCAUUCAAGCCUGUUUAGUUCCUUUCUUUUGAAGCAUAUUUUUAAUAUAAUGAAGCUUCUCAUUCUGCAGAGCAGGUAGGGAGUGAUUCAAUAUAUAAAUUCUUUUGAGACCUAAAUUGCUUUAUUGACAAAUACCAAUGGCCAAUUGAAAUGUCCUUGGGGAUCUCUACCAUUUUCUCUUGUAUGUUAUGAGGAUUUAGGAUUUUGUUUGUGUGUUCUCACCCCAAGUGGAAUAGUAGAAUGCACAACAAAGUGAGCUCGACAGGGGCAGCUACCCCAUGAGGAACAUAUGACUAUUCCUUAAACAGACAGCACCCUAUUAGAUAUUUAUUUUACAGUUUUUCUUUACAGUGACAGUGGAGUACUUCUCCCCAGUACAUAAUUUUCAUGUCAUCUAUUUGAUAUGUAAUACAGUUUCUCGGGAUUGCUAAUAUUCAGUUGAUUAAUUAAAGAGAUAUCACUGAAAAGAACCUUCUUUUCUCUAUGACCUGGCAACUGACUGCUAGAAGGAAAGAAAUGUGUGGCUUGAAUGUGAAAAUUACCAACUGAAAAGUUUUAUGCAAUUGCCUUGACAGA
Gallus gallus (chicken) is the source of this 2345-nucleotide long non-coding RNA. The record is from Ensembl. Lineage: Eukaryota; Metazoa; Chordata; Aves; Galliformes; Phasianidae.